Thalassophryne amazonica is the source of this 184-nucleotide long non-coding RNA. RefSeq lists it as uncharacterized. The record is from RefSeq and is a predicted model, not a curated record. Lineage: Eukaryota; Metazoa; Chordata; Actinopteri; Batrachoidiformes; Batrachoididae. The transcript is spliced from 2 exons.
UCUUGAUCUGUUGAUGCCAUUGGAAAACAGAUUUAGGCCUUUCUCCUUCCUAACCGUCAGCCUGGAUUCCACUGCAGGGCCCAGCAGGACGAACCAGGGUACCGUCAGUUCUGUCCCUGCAGUUGGUUUGGUGCAGGAGCUACAAAUCUGAACCAAAUCAAAUGUCUAAGAAAUGUGAAAAAAA